RNAcentral lists this ribosomal RNA (463 nucleotides) under uncultured Thiobacillus sp. RNAcentral's name for it is "bacterial SSU rRNA". It matches the Rfam family "Bacterial small subunit ribosomal RNA", at positions 916 to 1381 of the family's 1533-position model. The record is from RNAcentral. Lineage: Bacteria; Pseudomonadati; Pseudomonadota; Betaproteobacteria; Nitrosomonadales; Thiobacillaceae.
AGACGGGACCCGCACAAGCGGUGGAUGAUGUGGAUUAAUUCGAUGCAACGCGAAAACCUUCUACCCUUGACAUGUCCGGAAUCCUGCAGAGAUGCGGGAGUGCCCGAAGGGGAAUCGGAACACAGGUGCUGCAUGGCUGUCGUCAGCUCGUGUCGUGAGAUGUUGGGUUAAGUCCCGCAACGAGCGCAACCCUUAUCAUUAGUUGCUACGCAAGGGCACUCUAAUGAGACUGCCGGUGACAAACCGGAGGAAGGUGGGGAUGACGUCAAGUCCUCAUGGCCCUUAUGGGUAGGGCUUCACACGUCAUACAAUGGUCGGUACAGAGGGUUGCCAAGCCGCGAGGUGGAGCCAAUCCCAGAAAGCCGAUCGUAGUCCGGAUUGUUCUCUGCAACUCGAGAGCAUGAAGUCGGAAUCGCUAGUAAUCGCGGAUCAGCAUGUCGCGGUGAAUACGUUCCCGGGUCUU